RNAcentral lists this unclassified non-coding RNA (387 nucleotides) under soil metagenome. RNAcentral's name for it is "partial contains 5.8S ribosomal RNA, internal transcribed spacer 2, and large subunit ribosomal RNA". The stretch from base 1 to 122 matches the Rfam family "5.8S ribosomal RNA", at positions 35 to 154 of the family's 154-position model. The record is from RNAcentral.
GAUGAAGAACGCAGCGAAAUGCGAUAAGUAAUGUGAAUUGCAGAAUUCAGUGAAUCAUCGAAUCUUUGAACGCACCUUGCACCCUUUGGACUGCUCCAAAGGGUAUGCUCGUUUGAGUGUCAUUGUACUCUCACACUCUCUGAUCCUUUGGAUUUGGGGAGCGGUGGACUCGGGUGCUUGCUGCUUCCUUGUGGCUCACCUGAAAUGCAUCAGUGCAUCUCUCGAUUGGACAUAGCACGGCGUGAUAAGUGUCUUCGCCGGCACCUCAUAUGAGGGUGGCCGAUCGGGAGCUCUGUGCUUUCAAACCGUCUUCGGACAACGCUGACAACUUGACCUCAAAUCGAGUAGGACUACCCGCUGAACUUAAGCAUAUCAAUAAGCGGAGGA